RNAcentral lists this unclassified non-coding RNA (197 nucleotides) under plant metagenome. Its description in RNAcentral is "partial contains small subunit ribosomal RNA, internal transcribed spacer 1, and 5.8S ribosomal RNA". The record is from RNAcentral.
UCUCCGUUGGUGAACCAGCGGAGGGAUCAUUACCGAGUGUACAACUCUCAAACCCCUGUGGACAUCCCGAUCAUUGCCUCUGCUGUGCCCGCCCCCGCGGCCCGCCAGAGGACCCCCAAACGCUUGUUUUAUACAGCCACUUCUGAGUAACACGAUUAAAUAAAUCAAAACUUUCAACAACGGAUCUCUUGGUUCUG